RNAcentral lists this long non-coding RNA (582 nucleotides) under Solanum tuberosum (potato). RNAcentral describes it as "long non-coding RNA (STUB_LNC009527)". The record is from RNAcentral. Lineage: Eukaryota; Viridiplantae; Streptophyta; Magnoliopsida; Solanales; Solanaceae.
CGGUAGAGACAUGCAGGGGAGAGGACAAGUUUGUGAUGGCGAAGCGCUUUAAAAGCUAUUUGAAUUUUUCUCAUCCUCUCAUAUCGAAGAACUUUGAUCCUAAUGAAUGUGCAUGGGCCUAUGGCAUGAACAUUUUUGAUCUGGAAGCAUGGAGAGAAACAAAUAUAAGUGAGGCAUACCACUACUGGCUCGAACAGGUUAACUACAACUCUACAAGUGACAUCAACUGUUAAUUCAAUGAAAUGCAUUUUGAACAUUAUGCAACAUUCAAGCAUUUUGUUUUAACUAGUACUCCCUCUGUCCCAAUUUAUGUGAUGAACUUUGAUUGGCCACGGAGUUCAAGAAACAUAGAAAGACUCUUGAAAUUUAUGAUUUAAAACAAGUCAGAGAUAUUUGCAUAGCUACAGAUCAUCUCGCUUAAGGUUAAAAUGGGAUGCUUAAAGUUAAAUUGCCUCUAAAUAUAGAAAGGGGAAGUAAUCUUUUGCAAUUGCUCGAAAGUACUUACUGAAAAACUCGAUGAUGAUAUAGUCUUCCUUUUCUUGUGCAGAACUUGAAGUCAGAUCUAAGUUUGUGGCAGCUAGG